AAUGGCGAGACAUGAGGUGAGUGUUGGAGUGGGGGGGCUCAGCCACACCACCUACAGACCCCCCCCCCCGACACUCCCACACACUGCAGCAACAGCCCCUUUGCUCUACCAGACUUGUUAAACUUUAACUAAUCCGUCCUGCCAACAAAGCGCCCAUAUCCCUUGCACUUUUAUAAAGCGUCCACCACCACCCCAGGCCGGGCAGUGCAUUCCAGGCACCCAUCACUUGUCCCUCACCCCUCCUGUAAAACGACCCCGUCAUGCGUCUGGUAUGAGACGCGUCAACCCUGAGAAACAGAGACUGUCAUUGCCUCUCAUAAUCUUCCAUGAGAUCUCCCUUCAGCCUCCGCCACUCCAGACAAAACAACCCAAGUUUAUCCAGCUUCUCAUGACAGCACAAGCCCUCUAAUCCAGGCAGCAUCCGGGUAAAACUCUCUGCCCCCUUUCCAAAGCCACAACACCCUACAGCAGGGUGACCAGAAACUCCAGAUGUGGCCAAACCAGAGUCUUAUAAAGUUGCAACAUAAUCUCUUGACUUUUGAGCUCAAUGCCUCGACUAAUAAAAGUGAGUAUUCCAUCAGCCUUCUUAACCCCCUAUCCACCUGUGCAGCCACUUUCAAGGAGCUAUGAACACGGACCCCAAGAUCCCUCUACUCGUCAACACUCUUAGGGAUCUUGCCGUUGACUGCAGUGUACUGUCUCCUUGCAUUUGCCCUACUGAGGUGCAACACCUCACAUUUAUCUGGGUUAAACUCCACCUGCCAUUUCUCAGCCCAUAUCCAUAAAUAAUCUCUAUCCCGUUGUAUUUUUUACCAACCUUCUUCACUAUCCACAAUGCCACUAAUCACCUGCAAAUUUUCAAAUCCAAGAUCAGAGAGGUGGAGAGGCUCAACAACUGUUAUUAUUUUGGAGGACCUGUCUAAAACUUUUGGCAAACUUCUAUAGAUGUGAGGUGGGGAGUAUAUUGACGGGCUGCAUCACAGCCUGGUGGGGAACAGAAAAUCCCACAAAAGCAACUGCCCAGGACAUGCUCUCUUCUCAUUGCUGCUAUCAGGAAGAAGGAACAGGAGCCUCAGGACUAACAGCGCCAUAUUCAGGAACAGUUAUUACCCCUCAGCCAUCAGUCUUUUGAACCAAAGGAGGUAACUUCAUUUAAUUUCAUUUGCCUCAUCAUUGAAAUGUUCCCACAACCUAUGAGUCACUUUCAAGGACUCAUGUUCUCAAUAUUUCUUUAUUAUUAUGAUUUCUUUCUUUUUGUAUUUGCACAGCAGCCGAAAGCCCAUUUGGUGCAGUCUUCCAUUGAUUGUCUUAUGGUUAUUAUUCUAUGGGUUUAUUAAGUUUGCCUGCAGGGCUGUAUAUGGUGAUAUUUUAUAUAUACAUACACACACACACACACACAUACUUAGAUAAUAAACUCACUUUGAACCACAUCUGCAUCCAAGUCAUUUAUAUAAAUCACAGACAGCUGCAGUCCCAGUACAGAUCCCUACGGAACACCACUCAUCACAGGCCCCCAGCGAGAACAAGUCUCUGACCAAAAACCCGGCUUCUACGGGCAAGCCAGUUCUGAAUCCAAAUUGGCCAUUUCAACAUCGAUCCCAAAUAUCUUAAUCUUCUGGAUGAGAGAGCUUGGCAAAGGUUUUCCUAAACUUCAUCUAGACGUGGUCCACAGCCUGCGUUCAGAGGGUUUGGAGGGCCAAGAUCUACAUGCAUCUGGAAAGACAGAGGUUGAGUUGGGGUCCUAAGGCCUUUGAUAAGUCAGCUGGGAGAGUUAACUGGAUACAUGGCUAGCUUGAUGGUGGGUGACAGUGGAAAGUUGUUUCUCAGACAGGAGUCCUGAGACUCCUGGUACUGGCCCAGGAUUGCUUGUCAUCUACAUCAGUGAUUUGGACAAGCUGAAUGAAGAUGCUCAUCAAAAAUGACAGCAGGAUCUUGACUAUCUGAGUAAGUGAGUGAAGGAAUGGCAACAAAGGUUUAAUUCAGACAAGUGAGAGAAGUUACAUUUUGGAAAGUCCCAUCGAGGUUGGGCUUUCACAGUGAGCAGUCAGGCUCCAGGGAGUGCUGUAGAACAGACGGAUUCUGGAGUACGAGUAUUUACAUGUAGAAUUACGGGCAGACAGGAUAGUGAAGAAGCUGUUUAUCACACUGGCUUUCAUCAGUCAGGGCACGGAGUAUAAAAGUUGGGAGAUUACGACGCAGUUGUAGAGUUUUUGUCAUUCUGCAAAAGUGAAGAUGUUAUUAAACUGGAAAGAGCACAUUAAAGUUUUACAAGGAGUUCACCAGGACUUGAGGGACGGGGUUUUCAUGGAAAGGUUGAACAAGUUAGGGCUUUAUUCCUCUGACCACAGGAGACUGAGAUCUUAUAGAGGUGUUUAUAAUCAAUAGGGGCAUGGAUAGGAUGAGUGUACUCAGUAUUUUUCACAAGGUUAAGGAAUCAAGAACUGGAGUGCACAGGUUUAAAAUGAGAAGAAGAUUGAGUGGAACACUUGUGGAAUGAACUACCAGAGUAAUUGGCCGAGGCAGGUACCACAGCUUUGAAAAGGCACUUGGACAGGGAAGGCUUGGAGGGGUACGGGAUAUAUGUGGACAAAUUGGACCAACUUGGACAGCAUGAAGCAGAUUAGCUGAAGGAUCUGUAUGACUCUGAGACUUGACCUGGCCAACACAAAGCCACGUUGACUCUCCUUAAGGCCAUGUUUUUUCCCCAAAUGUUUGUAAACAACUUGCCCAGCUUAAUCUCUCCUACAUGAUGCAUAUUGAUUUUUAUAUAGUGGGGGAGUUUAGGACCAGCGGGUACAGCAUCAGAAUGCAAGAAUGCCCCAUUUGUAUAGAGCUGAAGGUGAACAACCUUAGCCAGAGGAUGGUGAAGCUGUAGAAUCCACUGUCACAGGCCUAAUCAUAGGCUGAUAAUUCACUAACAAAGGUUACGGGGGUAAGACGGGAGAGACGGAUUUGAACCAUAGAACACUACAGCACAGAAAACAGGCCAUUCAGCCCCUCUAGUCUGUGCCAAAACUUUAUUCCACUAGUCCCAUUGACCUGCGCCCAGUCCAUAACUCUCCAGAUCUCUCCCAUCCAUGUAUCUAUCCAAUCUAUUCUUAAAAAACUUAAGAGUGAGCCCACAUUUACCACAUCAGAUGGCAGCUUGUUCCACACUCCCACCACUCUGAGUGAAGAAGCCCCCCCUAAACCUUUCCCCUUUCACCCUAAAGCCAUGUCCUCUCGUAUUUUUCUCUCCUAAUCUAAGUGGAAAGAGCCUACUCGCAUUUACUCUGUCUAUACCCCUCAUAAUUUUGUAAACCUCUAUCAAAUCUCCCCUCAUUCUUCUACGCUCCAAGGAAUAAAGUCCUAACCUGUUCAAUCCUCCCCUGUAACUCAACUCCUGAAGACCCGGCAACAUCCUAGUAAAUCUUCUCUGCACUCUUUCAAUCUUACUGAUAUCCUUCCUAUAGUUAGGUGACCAGAACUGCACACAAUACUCCAAAUCCGGCCUCACCAAUGUCUUAUACAACCUCACCAUAACAUCCCAACUCCUAUACUCAAUAUUUUGAUUUAUGAAUGCCAGGAUGCCAAAGGCCUUCUUUACAACCCUGUCUACCUGUGAUGCCACUUUUAGGGAAUUAUGUAUCUGAACUCACAUAUCCCUUUGUUCCUCCGCACUCCUUAGUGCCCUACCAUUUACUGUGUAUGUCCUACCUUGAUUUGUCCUUCCAAAAUGCAACACCUCACACUUGUCUGCAUUAAAUUCCAUCUGCCAUUUUCUGGUUUUUCCAGUUGGUCCAGAUCCCUCUGCAAGCUUUGAAAGCCUUCCUCGCUGUCCACACCACCUCUAAUCUCAGUGUCAUCAGCAAACUUGCUGAUCCAAUUUACCACAUUAGAUCAUUGAUCAUUGAUAUAGAAAACAAACAACAAUGGUCCCAACACAGAUCCCUGAGGCACACCACUAGUCACAGGUCUGCAGUCUGAGAAGCAAUCAUCCACUACCACUCUCUGUCUUCUCCCACACAGCCAAUUUCGAAUCCAGUUUACAACCUCUACAUGGAUACCUAGUGUCUGAGAGGGAUAAUAAAUCAGGCAGGUAGAAUAGCACAGACUAGAGGGGAUGAAUGGCCUAACGGUUCUUCAAUGUCUUAUGGUCUUAUCUCAAAGUCCAUUUAUUAUCGCAGUAUGUAUGCCAUGUACAGCAUUCAGAUUUGUCUCCCAAAGGCAGCCACAGAACAUAACGAGUUGUGGUUGCUGUCCUCUCGCUGAAAUAUCAGUAACCUGGCCAGUCCCUUACAUAACACAAGGUUCUGUAUAGCUCCUAUUGUUGUUUGACAAGGAUACACCCUAUCCUUGUUACAUGCGUCUUCACAGUUAUGAGAGGAACCUAUUUCUACCAACAUCUCCUUGUAUGCGUCCAAAACUCACAGAUAUGUGAGGAGCACUGCUUUCUCGUCAAUACAAGUCAGGUGCGCGUGCCUCAGUCUCACUGUAGGGAUGAGAAGCACCAUUUUCCCACCAAUACAAGUCAGGUGUGUGCGCCUCACCAUCCCAUUCCCGCCAGUCUCACAUUGAUUUUGGCAAGGUGUGGAUGUGCGAUCUUGCGCUCUUAAACUUCUGUUGGUUUUCCCUACGGUGCAGUGAUUUUGUGCUUGAAAUAUUUAACGAUGUCUCCUAAGUGUCCGAUGUCAUGUCCUGGGCCAUCAGCCGAGCAGCAGAGAACCGCUUAACACUUGAAAAAAAGUUUGGAAAUUAUAAACAGCGCAGCAUCAGGUGAAGGUAACAUAGCUCUGGGAUGCUACUGCCUGGAACAGAAUCUUGCCUUUAAAGUUCUUUUGUUGCUUGACAAUGCACCAGCCCAUCCUAAACAUUUGGACAGCAUUCAUCCUAACAUGACAGUGCGUUUCCUGCUGCCUAACACAACAUUGCUGAUUCAACCACUCAACCAAGGUGUGAUCCACAUUCAAGGGUUUUUUUUUACAGCAAACUAUCUCUCAGAUGCUGCAAGCAACAGACGAUUUUGAAAAUCCCGGGAGUUUACCAACGUCCGAAGGGCCUGAGCACCUUCAGCCAUGCCGACGGAAACAGGGCAGAUGGGAGAGAACGCAGCGGGAGCGAUAGGAUACGGGAAAGUGCAAGGUCGUUGCUUGGCACACAGCAGUGCUGGAAAGUUUCUGAACCCUGGAGAAUUCCCUCUAUUUCUGCACAAGUAUGACCUAAAUGUUUUUAGGUACUUCUCUGUUUAUGUAGACGUCUGCGAAGAGAAAGCAUUUCAGGAUGUAUCUUGUAUACAUUUCUCUGACAUUAAAUGUACCUAUUGAAACGUGUUCAGAUCUACACACAAGUCUUAAAACUAAAUAAAGAGAACCCAAUUAAAUAAUAACACCAACAUUAUACUUGUUCCUUUACUUAUUGAGAAAAUGAUCCAAUAUUACGUGUAUUUGUUGGAAAAGGUAUGUGAACCUCUGGAAUAAUGCCUUCUACACAAGCUAUUCAAGAGUCAGUGCUCCAAUCAAUGAGAUGAUGAGAUUGGAGGUGUGUGGGUUGUGGAGGUGCCCCGCCCUAUAAAAAAAAGGACAGUCAGGUUACUGACAGAGCUUGCCCUUCUCAAGAAAGAUCUGCUUACAUGCACCAUGCCUUGAUCAAAAACCGUAGGACUUUAAAAGGGGAUAGAAGGGUGGACUGGCAAGUUUGCAGAUGACACACAGGUUGGUGGUGUUGUAAAUAGUGUAGAGGAUUGUUGAAGAUUGCAGAGAGACAUUGAUAGGAUGCAGAAGUGGGCUGAGAAGUGGCAGAUGGAGUUCAACCCGGAGAAGUGUGAGGUGGUACACUUUGGAAGGACAAACUCCAAGGCAGAGUACAAAGUAAAUGGCAGGAUACUUGGUAGUGUGGAGGAGCAGAGGGAUUUGGGGGUACAUGUCCACAGAUCCCUGAAAGUUGCCUCACAGGUCGAUAGGGUAGUUAAGAAAGCUUAUCGGGUGUUAGCUUUCAAAAGUCAAGGGAUAGAGUUUAAGAGAUGCGAUGUAAUGAUGCAGCUCUAUAAAACUCUAGUUAGGCCACACUUGGAGUACUGAGCCCAGUUCUGGUCGCCUCAGUAUAGGAAAGAUGUGGAAGCACUGGAAAGGGUACAGAGGAGAUUUACCAGGAUGCUGCCUGGUUUAGAGAGUAUGGAUUAUGAUCAGAGAUUAAGGGAGCAAGGGCUUUACUCUUUGGAGAGAAGGAGAAUGAGAGGCC
This is a long non-coding RNA of Hypanus sabinus (Atlantic stingray), 6216 nucleotides long. RefSeq lists it as uncharacterized. Lineage: Eukaryota; Metazoa; Chordata; Chondrichthyes; Myliobatiformes; Dasyatidae. The transcript has 3 exons. The record is from RefSeq and is a predicted model, not a curated record.